AACGGAAUAGUUUAAUGGUAAAACGUUGGAAUCAUAAUCCAUAUUUAAGAGUUCAAAUCUCUUUUCCGUUA
RNAcentral lists this transfer RNA (71 nucleotides) under Acavomonas peruviana. RNAcentral describes it as "tRNA-Met". It matches the Rfam family "tRNA". Rfam says of the family: Transfer RNA (tRNA) molecules are approximately 80 nucleotides in length. Their secondary structure includes four short double-helical elements and three loops (D, anti-codon, and T loops). The record is from RNAcentral. Lineage: Eukaryota; Colponemida; Acavomonidia.